UGCUCCUCCGUGAACCGCAAUCAUCGUCGCCUGGGUCGGGUGUACUGUCGAUGCGUCACAAAGUCGCACCUGGAGGAGCCAAGUUGUUGUGCUCUAACACGGUCGACGCCAGGCACAAGAUCUUCCUGGUGACUCCAUGACGACGAGCACGGUGUGCGCGAGCGCAACGAUUAUUCUGGCGACUACAGGCGCGGGAACUCCGGCGUGCAGGUCUUAGUAAGUGCAGGUGGUGUUUCCGGCCAGCGGCGAGUCCAGCUGCCUUCUACGUCGCCUUAUCUGGCAGCUUCCAGUUUGUUGGCCUGACGGUUAGCCGGUUUUCAAAUCAGAUUAGCAGUGCCAAUUGAGAUGACAUGAAGCUGAUGCAAUGUAAAGUUUAGGAUGCAACAAGGGUGGCACUAGCACUGCCGAAGUAAAUAAGAACAGGGGCCCUCCUGCAUGGUUCGAUGAGCUUGGAUAAUGAAAACAUUCGACCUUUACUGAACUUAUUUCAUUCAGUAAAAAUAUGUGAAUUGAGGACUACAUUGGUUCUCUUUCCUGUGGGUGGAGUAUUGUUUUUAUGCAUGACAUUCGUUUUCAAGGAAUGCCUAGGUGUUAUUUUUCCUCAACUGAACUAUUUUGUAGCUUCAGUUAAGUUUUGAGUUGUCCCUACAUUCUGUACAUUCAUGUUCAUAGAGAAAUUGUAUUAUCAUGUCCAUCUAGAGUAUGGUGCUUUGGUAAGGGUUUAGGAAGUUUCUACUGGUUAUUUUUUGAUUCAUACAUGGGGCAUAAAAGUAACACUGCAUGUCUUAUGACUAAAUGAUAUGUAUCUAGGAUGCAAUUCGGUCGUU
Lolium rigidum is the source of this 827-nucleotide long non-coding RNA. RefSeq lists it as uncharacterized. The record is from RefSeq and is a predicted model, not a curated record. NCBI's taxonomy places the organism in Eukaryota, Viridiplantae, Streptophyta, Magnoliopsida, Poales, Poaceae. The transcript is spliced from 4 exons.